Molecule: transfer RNA, 95 nt
Filed under: Hydrogenophaga intermedia
Lineage: Bacteria; Pseudomonadati; Pseudomonadota; Betaproteobacteria; Burkholderiales; Comamonadaceae
Description: tRNA-Ala
Source: RNAcentral
GGUGGCCAUGGUGAGCGGUGGGCGGUCAUGGGGUGUCGCGCAAGCGCCGCAGGAUAGCGUCUGCCUCGCGCGGGUUCCGUGCCUCGAGCCACUGC